Molecule: ribosomal RNA, 451 nt
Filed under: uncultured Cylindrocystis
Lineage: Eukaryota; Viridiplantae; Streptophyta; Zygnematophyceae; Zygnematales
Description: SSU rRNA
Rfam family: Eukaryotic small subunit ribosomal RNA
Source: RNAcentral
ACGUAUUUAUUAGAUAAAAGGCCAAUGCGGGCUUGCCCGGUAUUGCGGUGAAUCAUAAUAACUCUUCGAAUCGCAUGGCCUUGCGCUGGCGAUGGUUCAUUCAAAUUUCUGCCCUAUCAACUUUCGAUGGUUGGAUAGAGGCCUACCAUGGUGGUAACGGGUGACGGAGAAUUAGGGUUCAAUUCCGGAGAGGGAGCCUGAGAAACGGCUACCACAUCCAAGGAAGGCAGCAGGCGCGCAAAUUACCCAAUGCUGAUACAGGGAGGUAGUGACAAUAAAUAUCACUGCCGGGCUUUCAAAGUCUGGUAAUUGGAAUGAGUACAAUCUAAAUCCCUUAACGAGGACCCAUUGGAGGGCAAGUCUGGUGCCAGCAGCCGCGGUAAUUCCAGCUCCAAUAGCGUAUAUUUAAGUUGUUGCAGUUAAAAAGCUCGUAGUUGGAUUUUGGGCGUGA